UCCUCAUGCCCUCACCUGUUUAUCCCCACAUCCACAUGUCCUCACCACCUGCUUCUUUGUCUGAUCACCAAUAAAUAGUGUGGGAUCCCAGAGCUCGGGGCCUUCACAGCCUCCAUACCAGUGUUGGCCCUGUGGACCCACCUUAUGUACUCUUAACUUGUCUUUUCUCAUUCCUUUGACUCCUCCGGACUUCGUAGCCCCCACGGCCUGGUGUUGGGUCUGAUCACCCCAACAUUUCUGGCGCCCAACAUGGGGCUAUGAAGACCCCGGUGAAGGAAUGCUAGAGCAUGUGGAAGCAGAAGAUGCAUUGUCAGAGGACACCGAGGAUGACUGAAAGAAGCUCGGCGGAUUAAGAAACUGAAAUACAGAUGGAAUCAAUGGCAUGGCCAGGUCAUAUGGUCAGUAACUAAUGAAGCUGGAGGCUUAAUAUACUGCCAAAUAAAAUUAUGGGAGUGACCUGAAGAUCCAGAUUGGAUCCCAGGGCCAGAACUGGAUGGUAAUUUGAUUGAAUUUGUUAAAGUAUCUAAAAUGACUGUUAUCACAAGUGGGGUUAGUCAGCCUUAAACCCUCAAAAAAGGAAGGUCUCAGAGAUAAAAAGCAGUAUUCUCUAUUAAAACAUGAUUCAUGGUUUAGAUCUCAAGAACUUCAACCACAAAAAAAAACUUGUUUUAAACAUGAUUCAUGGGAGUUUUUCAUUCAUCAAAAUAUUUGAUACUUGGGCAAAGCCAUUAGGCCAGGAUUAUAAAUGCUGCAGAGGCCAAAGAGAUAAAUGGCGCUGUUCAGAGGGAGAUAACAGGGUGUGGUUAGGGCUGAUGAAGUAAGUGAGCGAAUGAGCUGAUUAAAGGUAUUGGGAUUAAUGUUUUUCUCAUCCCAAAAGUGAGAUGGGUGACUCAUGUUCUCUUAGCUUAAGGUCAUUAAAUAUUCCAUAGACAUUAUUCUUUGUCCAGGAUAACAAAAAGCUAGUUGCACAAAUUUAAAAUAUCCCUGUCUCUGGGACAAUGAUUUCUCAUUGCAAUUUGACCUUCUGCUUUUAAAAAUCAGACUCAUAAACUAGGUUAAUGUAAGUCCAUUCCUGAAAGAUGAAUUCACUCUUGAUAUACAGAGAAAUCAGGUUUCUAAGCCUGAUUUACUAUACAUACCAGCCUGUGAGCCCCCUUGGGAGACACAAUAUAGCCUUGCUUUGUGAACAUAAAGCAUACAUCAUUUCCUUGUGGACGACAAAUAUGUUUUUCUUAUUUGUUAUAUGCUGAUGAUUUUUAAAUUUGUCUGUGGAGGUCACAACUCUCAUUAGUCAAAAAUUUAAAAAGCUGUACCAGGCUUGCUGUAAAAAUUAGAUGAUUUAAGGUAGUUUGUUAAACAUUUUUUAUUGCAUUAAACUUUUAGGAAAUUUUAAGAAUAACUGUGAGAGAUUCAAUAGAUACAUAGGUAAAGGACACAAGCAUGUUAUCUACAAUAGAGGAACUACAAAUGUCUAGCACAUAGUUGAAAAAAACAUUUGGCCCCCACAAUUAUGCCAGCUAUGUAGUAUUUCUAUCUCAAGCUCAGGCCACUCCCCCAAGCUCCAGAUUCAAAUGUCCAAUCGCUCAUGUGAGAUCACUUAGAAGUCUACUGGCAUCUCAAUUCAACAUGUCCAAAACAGAAUCUUUGAUUCACUCUCCUUUUUCCCACAUACCUGGUCUCCUACCUCAAUUAAUUGCAUUACUUUGUUCAUCAGGCAAAAUAAACAGGAAUCAUGCUUACUUUUUUCUCCUUCCCAGUUCUUCCAUACAAAGUCUGUCAUUGAGCUGGACCUGGUGAGGUCCUGGACUCUUGGGUGCUGCCUGGACCCACCCAAAUGCCAGAAUGGGAGUGACUUGAUUAAGUUCCUCAGGGAGCUAGGUUAAGCAGAUAACCUUUCUCUUGUUUCACACACACACAAAAAUCUUGCCCUCCUAGAAAUUCACCUCUCAAAACAAUACCAGCCAAGUAGAAGAGGAAAAGAAGAGCAAGUGUCUAGAGGCCCUGAUUUGCCUGGACACCCAUCUGGGUGAUUUGGGGUGGCCAACUUGAAAGAGCUUUUUUUUCCCCCAAGCCAUUCUCUCCUGUUCUCAGCCAGCUUCCUGCAACCAUGAGGUCAGAAACAAAAACAAGUAUGUUUGUGCUUUUACAUUUGUGAUGGGCAAGGUACUCUAAAACGCAGGGUUCAGGGCAGGGGCCCCUUUCUUCUGAGUUCAAGAAAGCCACUGAGUCUUUUUUUUUUAGACAAGGUCUUGCUCUGUCACCCAGGCUAAAGUGAAGUGGCAGGAACAUGGCUCACUGCAGCCAGUCUCAUUCUCCUGGGCUCAAGCAAUCCUCUCACCACAGCUCCCCAAGUUGCUGGGACUACAAGCACAUGCCAUAGUGGCCUGCUAACUUUUUUAUUAUUAUUAUUGUAGAGACAAGGUCUCACUUUGUUGCCCAUGCUGAUUUCAAAUUCCUGGGCUCAAGCAAUCCUCCCAUCUCAGCUUCCCUAAGUGCUGGGAUUACAGGCAAGAUACACCACUGUACCUAGCUUUUAUUCAUUUUAUUAUUCAUCUUUAUUGCUUUCAUUGCACAUGCUGUUAACUUCUUAUGAACUCUUUGUUCUAAUAAAUAAGCAUAUCCAGGUUUUUCAUAAAUAAAUGAGGAGUCUAUAAAUUCUUACUAGUUUUAAUAGAAACAUUGCCACUAAAAUGGUGUAUUCUAGCUGUGUGAGCUUUUGGAAAAUGUUUUCAUUUCCUUUAUGUUUGAAUGUUCCUUCCAGGUCUUUGAAAAUAUACAUUCUGAGUUGAAAAGCUUUAUAAUAGGUAAAACUCAUUAACCCAUAUACUUUCCAUGCUGGGCACAGCAGGUGUGGUAGGUAGAAAUAUAAGAUGACUCCCAAGAUUUUUGCACCCUGGCAUACACAUAUGCUUUUCCAGUUGUUGAAACACUAAUUUAGGUGCUGCUGUGAAGGGAUUUUGUAGAUGUGAAUAAUGUUCCAAAUCAGUUGGCCUUAAGAUAGAAAGAUGAUCCUGGAUGGGCCAGAUCUUAUCAGUUGAGUCCUUAAAGGGAACAGCACCCUUCCUGACAAAGAGAUUCAAAGCAUGAAGGAUUAAAAAUGAGAGAGAUUCUCUAUUGCCAGCUCUGGAAAUAGAGUAGGUCACGUGGUAAGUCGUUCAAGUGGCCUCUAGUUGCUGAGAGCAGCUCCCAGGUAAGAGCCAACAAGGAAAUAAUGACUACAAGGAGAUGAAUCUGGCCACACUAUGUAAGCUUGGAAAGGAACUCUGAAUGCCAGAUGAGGAUGCAACCAAGCCAACACCUUGAGUUUAGCCUUAUGAGAUCCUGAGUCGAGAAUCCAGUGAGACGAUGCCCAGAUUUACCACAACCCUAGAGGCUAAAGACAAUACCCCCUAAUUAUCUCACAAUGCUGUAUUGUCUUUAGUCUCUAAGGUUAUUUAGUAAUUUAGUAAUAAAAAGCAAAUCCAGUAGGACCAUGCUAAAUUAAGAUACAACCUCUAUAUCAUAUGAUGCAGUGUGAAUCAGCACAGUAGAGAUUGCAGUGUCUCUGGAAGCCAUUUCUAUACUGGACAAUUCUUUGCAAUAAUUCAACUACACGUGCAAGUGAUCAAAUUAAUAUAUCUUACAAAACUAAGUGUAUCUUCAACAAUACUCUUCCUUAACCAGUACCAAAAAAAAAGAUCUGUGAAUAUUCUCUAACACCUCUCAACACAAGGGCAAGUGUCACAGAUGGAAGUGAAGACUAAAGAGAGACAAUAGAAUUCACUGAUUAAGGUUUAAAUAUCUUACUUUAGCAACUUUUUAUUUGCAAAAAUAGAAAACUGAUCAUGUGAACACAUUUGCAUUAAAAGAUGUUUCUGCAAAUUAGGGGCCCUGAAAUUAAGCUUCAUUAGGUUCAUGGUAAGUCUACCUCUCUCUUUAUCUAUAGCACUUGGCAAAGGGCCUGGCAUCUGAAUGACAGGUCUCAAAUGUUCUUUUUCAUAUGAUUACAUUAAAUAAAUCAUUAAAUUGUUAUUUACUUAAAUAACUUUAAAAUUUUCUUGAGUGAAUUAACACUACUUGAAGGAUCCCUGUAAACUGAGUCCACUUUCAAUUUCCUAUCUACUGGGUCACUUAUAACAAACCAUGUUACACGUAUACUUCCUCAUCUCUGCUUGUUUCCAAGAAAGGAAAGGUAAGUAAUUUAGUUUUUGUAUUUCAAUUAGUAAUUCAAUAACCUGUCUGUUUUUUGUUUUUUUAAAGCAAAAUAGCUUAUCUCAGAGUUCAGAUCAGACAAUCUCACCACUGGUGUUUGGAUUCAGUGUCUUUUGAGAUCACCCUCUCUGGAAGGAAUCAACUGCCUUGUCAUGAGGAUACUCACACAGUCUUACGGAGAAGUCAAAGAACCGAGGUCUCCUGCCAACAGCUGGGUGAGUGAGCCAUCUUGGAUGAAAAUCCUCCAGCCCCAGUCAAGCCUUCAAAUGACUGCAGCCCUGGCUGAAAAAUUAAAUGCAACAUAUGAGAGACCCUAAGGCAGAAUCACCCAGGUAAGCUGCUCGUAGAUUUCUGAUGCACAAAAAUUGUGUGAGAGAUCAAAUGUUUAUUGUUGUUUCAAGGCUGUGCAGUAUUUUCUCAUAAUCUGAACAUUUGUAGAGGUUUCUGAGAAUUGAUCUCCAGAUUCCAUACAUUGGGAAAUUUAAAACAGCAGUGGAAGUACAGCAAUUUUUCUUGCCACAAACCUGAAUUAACCUUACAGAUUUUUUAAUAGGAGCCCUGAGAUAUAAUUUUACUUUUUGGAGAAUAUACUUACCCUUUUAAUAGCUUAACUUUUCUUUUUUAGAAUAAAAAUGUUUGGAAAACUAGACUCCUGUUUCUCCAGAUUAGAAAUGAAAUUUGAUCCUGUGGUGGCAGUUUUUCUCUCUCUCAUCAUUACAUAUGUUAGAAAUUCUGAUAAGGAGAUUGUUAGAAGCAGAGAUAAAGAUUAUAUAAAAGAGAGAGGAGACAGAAAAGGAGGUGAAAUGUAAUCUCACAAUUCCCUGCACCACUUAUUUAUUUCCUAAAAUCUUGUCUCACACAAAAGACAUCAGAGACAGAAAGUUUUCUCUGUCCACAUCUCCCAUAGGGACAAAGAUAGCUUACCAUUUCUUGGAAAAUAAAGAAAAAAUGAAUUUUUCUUUACCAAAAUUUAAACACCAUUAGGGAUAGAGGUUAAAAUUAAUUGAGACAUCUGUAAGAGUAACAAGUACCGCUACUCUGGGUACAUUGCCCAUGGGGUAGCCCUGCUCCACAAGAAGCAGUAAAGCUAAAACAAACAAACAAACAAAAAAUAAAAAAAGAGUAACAAGUAGUUCUCUCUUUAGCACCAUGUGAAGUAUAUUUUCAUGAUCCCAUUCCCAUUCCAAUCCCAAAUUUUCCAAAGCAAGGAACACCUACUAUUUAACAUAAAACAUAGGACAUAUUAAAGACAAAUGAAGAGUAGGGUUUGAAACCGUUGCAAGAUCUGGUCUCCACUGACAAAAAAAAAAAAAAAAAAAAUUCAACAAUGUAGAUGAUAAACUACUACCGACUUUACCUGGUUGUGUAGGAAUUGUUCCCUUAAUAUACUUGGAUACAUUUGUAGAAAAUAAGCCACCUGCAACUUGGUAUAUAUAUACUCUCCUAGCAAUAAUGUACUUUUCAGAGUGUCUUCACAUCUAUCGCUAGAAAUGCUAUUAUGUAAGUAACCAGAAUUAUUAUCUCUUUUGAACAGAUGAUGAAAGUUUGAAGUGGACUUUCUCAAGGACAGCUAGUUAGUGGCAAGGAAGAGACUGUAAUUCAGACUUUCUGGAAUCCAAAAUGGAGCCUUUCUCCUGACCAUUGUCUCUGUUGAAUGCACUAAGCAAAUCUCUAGGACUUAGAAAAAAUAAUUAAUUUAAGAGUAUUAUUCUUGUUUUUAAUUCACUUUUAAGUUCUAUAUGAAUUAUUAAUUCAAUAUCUAUUAUAUAGUGGUUUUUUUUUAAGAUAGGGUCUCACUCUGUUGCCCAGGCUGGAGUGCAGCAGGAAUGCAGUGGCACAAUCAUUGCUUACUGCAGCCUCAAACUCCUGGGCUCAAGGGAUCCUCCCACCUUAG
This 6085-nucleotide long non-coding RNA is filed under the name Homo sapiens (human). RNAcentral describes it as "HSALNT0137574". Lineage: Eukaryota; Metazoa; Chordata; Mammalia; Primates; Hominidae. The record is from RNAcentral.